This 252-nucleotide ribosomal RNA is filed under the name uncultured bacterium. RNAcentral describes it as "partial 16S ribosomal RNA". It matches the Rfam family "Bacterial small subunit ribosomal RNA", at positions 524 to 776 of the family's 1533-position model. The record is from RNAcentral.
UACGGGGGGGCAAGCGUUGUUCGGAAUUACUGGGCGUAAAGGGCGCGUAGGCGGCCUGCUAAGUCGGACGUGAAAUCCCUCGGCUCAACCGGGGAACUGCGUCCGAUACUGGUGGGCUCGAAUCCGGGAGAGGGAUGUGGAAUUCCAGGUGUAGCGGUGAAAUGCGUAGAUAUCUGGAGGAACACCGGUGGUGUAGACGGCCUACUGGACCAUAACUGACGCUGAGACACGAAAGCGUGGGUAGCAAACAGG